AUACGUAGGGGGCAAGCGUUAUCCGGAUUUACUGGGUGUAAAGGGAGCGUAGACGGCGAAGCAAGUCUGAAGUGAAAGGACGGGGCCCAACCCCGGAACUGCUUUGGAAACUGUUUGGCUGGAGUGCGGGAGGGGUAAGCGGAAUUCCUAGUGUAGCGGUGAAAUGCGUAGAUAUUAGGAGGAACACCGGUGGCGAAGGCGGCUUACUGGACCGUAACUGACGUUGAGGCUCGAAGGCGUCGGGAGCAAACAGGAUUAGAUACCCUGGUAGUCCACGCGGUAAACGAUGAUCACUAGGUGUCCGUGGGUAUGACCCAUGGGUGCCGCAGCCAACGCAAUAAGUGAUCCACCUGGGGAGUACGUUCGCAAGAAUGAAACUCAAAGGAAUUGACGGGG
Molecule: ribosomal RNA, 396 nt
Filed under: uncultured bacterium
Lineage: Bacteria
Description: partial 16S ribosomal RNA
Rfam family: Bacterial small subunit ribosomal RNA
Source: RNAcentral